Molecule: long non-coding RNA, 229 nt
Organism: Hyaena hyaena (striped hyena)
Lineage: Eukaryota; Metazoa; Chordata; Mammalia; Carnivora; Hyaenidae
Exons: 3
Source: RefSeq, a predicted model, not a curated record
UGCUGGGAAAAUACCCCUCUAUUCUUGGAAGCAGACCAUCGUGUCUUCCCUUCACUUCUCUUAGCCAGUGUGGUUUGCCUCACUGAGCCCCAGAAGUUCAAGGAUUUAAAGUCAGCAAAUUCUAACACGUGCACGAACAGGGGACAUAGGUGAUUCUGGGGACAAAAGAAGGCUGGAUUGGUGUUCGAACUUUAGCUUCGCUAACAAGCUUCUCUGUGAUAUUGAUGCC